UAUGGAGAGAGAGAGAGAGAGAGUUGAGCUAGAAUACUCUCAAAAGCACCAAGAGGGUGGUGCUUUUGAGUUUUUGGCCAUUGGAUGAAGAGAUGUAAGGUUGGGAUGAUGGUAGUAGGUGGUGGUAGGUGGAAUAGUGUUUAAUCCAAGGGCUAUUAGUAAUCAAGGAGUAGAUCCAAGGGCUAGAAAACUAGAAGCACCAAGGAGUUGGUGCUUCUAAAAGUAUUCUAGCUCAAUUCUAUAUAUAUAUAUAUAUAUAUACAUAGAGAGAGAGAGAGAGAGAGAGGGAUCUAGGCUGGUAUACUAUCGGUAUCACGGAGGUCUCCAUGCUCUUCAUUUGUUUUCAAUGAUGUAGGUUUCAAAUCGACGAUCGGCUUCGUUAAACUUGAUCUACACUAUUGAAAGUAUUUGGAAACCAAAUUUCAUAAUUUUUCAACAUCAUUGACUUAUCAAACGAAUAGUUUAAAAGUAAACGGCUGAAAAUAAAAAUCUCAUAAAAAAUGAUGAUAAAAGACUUGAAUUUAAGAUUAGAGUUACUGAUCUAACUCUAAAUAAUGACAAAAAAAAUUAUAAAAAUUUCAUCAGAUUUGAAUUGUUUUACACCGUUAAAUUCACAAACACAUGACAUCGAGCAUUAAAAUUGUCAAUUUCGAGACAUUUUGAUUACUAGCCAAAUGAUGUCAAAAAAUUAUAAAAUUAUGUUUCCAAAUACUUUCAAUAGUGUAAAUCAAGUCUAACGGAGCCGAUCAUCGAUUUGAAAGCAGUAUCAUUGAAAACAAUUUGGUAGCACGGCCUCUGUGCUACCGAUAGUAUACCGGUCUAGCUAUAUAUAUAU
RNAcentral lists this long non-coding RNA (835 nucleotides) under Ananas comosus (pineapple). RNAcentral's name for it is "long non-coding RNA (ACOM_LNC023954)". The record is from RNAcentral. Lineage: Eukaryota; Viridiplantae; Streptophyta; Magnoliopsida; Poales; Bromeliaceae.